Molecule: ribosomal RNA, 646 nt
Filed under: uncultured bacterium
Lineage: Bacteria
Description: bacterial SSU rRNA
Rfam family: Bacterial small subunit ribosomal RNA
Source: RNAcentral
AUAACAGUUAGAAAUGACUGCUAAUACCGCAUAAGACCACGGAGCCGCAUGGCUCAGUGGGAAAAACUCCGGUGGUAUGAGAUGGACCCGCGUCUGAUUAGGUAGUUGGUGGGGUAACGGCCUACCAAGCCAACGAUCAGUAGCCGACCUGAGAGGGUGACCGGCCACAUUGGGACUGAGACACGGCCCAAACUCCUACGGGAGGCAGCAGUGGGGAAUAUUGCACAAUGGGGGAAACCCUGAUGCAGCGACGCCGCGUGAGCGAAGAAGUAUUUCGGUAUGUAAAGCUCUAUCAGCAGGGAAGAAAAUGACGGUACCUGACUAAGAAGCACCGGCUAAAUACGUGCCAGCAGCCGCGGUAAUACGUAUGGUGCAAGCGUUAUCCGGAUUUACUGGGUGUAAAGGGAGCGUAGACGGCUGUGUAAGUCUGAAGUGAAAGCCCGGGGCUCAACCCCGGGACUGCUUUGGAAACUAUGCAGCUAGAGUGUCGGAGAGGUAAGUGGAAUUCCCAGUGUAGCGGUGAAAUGCGUAGAUAUUGGGAGGAACACCAGUGGCGAAGGCGGCUUACUGGACGAUGACUGACGUUGAGGCUCGAAAGCGUGGGGAGCAAACAGGAUUAGAUACCCUGGUAGUCCACGCCGUAAAC